This is a ribosomal RNA of Lupinus angustifolius (narrow-leaved blue lupine), 162 nucleotides long. It matches the Rfam family "Eukaryotic small subunit ribosomal RNA", at positions 1667 to 1823 of the family's 1831-position model. Lineage: Eukaryota; Viridiplantae; Streptophyta; Magnoliopsida; Fabales; Fabaceae. The record is from Rfam.
CACCGCCCAUUGCUUCUACCGAUUGAAUGGUUUGAUGAAGAGUUCGGAUUGUGGCGAUGCUUUGUGGUUCGCUGUCGGCAACAUUGUGAGAAGUCCAUUGAACCUUAUCAUUUAGAGGAAGGAGAAGUCGUAACAAGGUUUCCGUAGCUGAACCUGCACAAG